UGCAGGGAUACUGCAUGUGCAGGCUCAGAACAACAUCAAGAGCUCCAGACCACAGGUAAAACUGCUCAUACACAGGCCUAAAUCAGUCUUUGGGCUGACCAGAGGUGUAGCUCUUCUUCAGGAGUUAGUCUGUCAAAACCAGAUUGUUGUAACGCAAGGUUUAGAAGCCAGUCGAGAGAGUAAUGAGAACUACAGCAAACAGCAAUGUUCCAGGACAGCGCCUUUACAGAACGUUCUGCCUACCUUGACUUCCAUACCUACCAUGCCUUCCAUGAUUCCUGUGGUCAGGUUUUAAGGUCAUAGCCAACAUAUUGUGAUAAAAGUAGUUUGCUGCCCCCAUGUGGCUACUCUGUAUGCUGCCCCAUGCAGGGACAGGUGACUCUUCCAAUUACAGUUGCAUUUUUAUUAACUAAAGGGCAAGACAUCUGUAUGUAGUGUAUGACAAAUGUAAUAAUUGCAUCAUUAUUCUCCGCUCUUAGCUAUUUGACACAGUUGUGAUGUCCCCAAGCAGAGGCAUCUUCUUCUGGACUCUGAGGUCUACCAGAGAAUCCAGGGCAGGAGAGAAACACCCACAGACCAUCGCCAGUCCAACACCUUCCACCUGAUACAGGAGGUGCUGGAGGAAGACUGUAGAAAUGCGCCCCUGCAUACCCAAGAAAAUCCUUAGGCACGGCCGCCCAGCAACCCCUCCUGUUGAGAGUGCAGAUGUCCCGCACAUGUCAAAGCUGUGGAACUCUCAAUGUGUAAUAAUAUGAUUCUGCUAUUGGUCUCCAGUAAAAUAUUUACUUUCUUCUCAGGGUGUGCCAUGAUAUAGUCGGC
RNAcentral lists this long non-coding RNA (819 nucleotides) under Salmo salar (Atlantic salmon). RNAcentral's name for it is "lncRNA (ENSSSAG00000119272.1, ENSSSAG00020083604.1, ENSSSAG00075064616.1)". The record is from RNAcentral. Lineage: Eukaryota; Metazoa; Chordata; Actinopteri; Salmoniformes; Salmonidae.